This is a non-coding RNA of Podarcis lilfordi (Lilford's wall lizard), 87 nucleotides long. Lineage: Eukaryota; Metazoa; Chordata; Lepidosauria; Squamata; Lacertidae. The record is from the annotation of a GenBank genome assembly.
GCCUGAGGAUAGCUCAGUGGAUAACUCCGUCUGUAGAGCCUGAGACUCUUAAUCUCAGGGUCCAGGGUUCAAGCCCCAGUUGGGAUG